Long non-coding RNA from Equus asinus (donkey), 16447 nucleotides. The record is from Ensembl. NCBI's taxonomy places the organism in Eukaryota, Metazoa, Chordata, Mammalia, Perissodactyla, Equidae.
UGUGCCAUCAAAAGCCUUCCCAAGCAGGGAGCCCUUUCUCUGGGAGUCCCUCCUGGAGGCCCUGGCGGCUCCCACCUCCGACUGUGGAGAGAGCCACUUCCUUUCUGCUGGCCCUUGCAGCGUGGGGCGUGCUUCUCUAUGUGACUGCAGCGUGCUGAGUCUGUGCUGGUGUCCAACUGCCACACAUUAACUGAGCACCCAUUUCGUGCCUGGCACUGGGGGCUCUUGGGACAUGGGGGUGAGCCAGACAGGUGUGUCUCAGCUGUUGCAGCGUUUGCAGCCUGGGGGCUGAGGAACAGGUCCACGCUCAGGACCACAAGGCGGCCUGAGUCUUGUGGUGGGGCAGGAUAAGGGGCUUCAAGUGCUCCCAAGAGGAGCAUCUAUCCAGGACUGGGAUGGGCAGCAGGGCUCCAUGGAGCAAGUGGUAGUAAACCAAGGUGGAGAGAGUCAAGCCAGGAGGGGGUGAAGGGGGAAAGCAAUGUCUCAGGCAAAGGGAACAGCCUGUGCAAAGGCCCAGGGGUGAUAGAAAGCUAGGUGAGAUCAGAAUGCCACAGAGAUUGGCAUGGCCGGAAAAUAGAGCAUGCAGGGCAAGUGUUGCAAGAGCACUCUGGAGAGGCAAGCUCCGACUCUGGCCAAAAAAGGUUGCCGGAAUCUUGCCUCUCUCUCCCACUCAUCUGUGGGCUCAGGUGGCUUAGAGGACAGUGUGGCAUGGGAGUUAACAGCCUGGCCUUGCAGCCAGCAGACCCAGGUGUGGCUUGAGUGACUUCAGACAGCUGCUUACCUGUUCUGGGUCCUACUCUCAUCUUUUAAAUGGGAAUCAUCAUACCACCCCCUCCGAGGGCUUGGCGAGGACUGUGUAACGGAAGAGGAUGAGCACAGUCUCUGACCCACGGGAGCAGCUGAAUGCAGGGCUGCUGCAGCGAUGGCAAGAACACACGGGAAUGUGUUAGACACCAUGUUGCUGUUGUCACCAGUAUUCUUACCAUUAUUUUUGUUGUUGGAUCUGAGUCGUCUCUGCCUCUCUUAUGGAUGGCACCAAGGGCUCUGUUGCCUACCCAGCUCUGGGUCCUGGGGAAGGAGCUGGCAAGAUGGCGAGCGCCAGGAUCAUAGAACAACCCCUUUGCCCUCCGCAGCUGUGCGCGGGCCAGGGAAUGAGAGGUCUGUAGCCCUGUGGACUAGUCUGGCAGGGGCUCCGGACACAGAAUCCGGAUGCUAUGUGAACACCCCAGCCUGCCUGGGAAAGCUGCCCACCAGCCCGUCCCCCUCUGCCCUUAUAUGGCCUUCCCUUUCUUGGGGAAGAGUUGAACCUUCUCAGGGUUGGAUGUUCUCGUCCCCCUGCAGGACGCCAGGACGCCUGCUGGGGUGGUGAUUCUUUUCUUGUGGGCAUUCCCAUCUGAUCAAUUUUCUGCCCUCUCUGGCUGCUCUGAGCUGAGGGCUGCCCCCUAAGAAUGCAUCACCCAGACCCCCUUGGGCUCUCAAUUCUGGCCGGAUCUGGCCACAGGGAAGCUGCAGCAGGAGAGAGGAGUGUACAGGGCGAGAGGUCAGGCAUCCAUCCCUCUCUCCGUCUGCUCCUUCUUCCACUGUCCUGACAUUGGCUGUGACCAGGACAGCUGUAGCUCCCUGGCUGCUCCUCCUUGGCUCCGGCUCUCAGGCCCCCCAGAGCACCUUCCUUCUCUUCUGCUUGAUCGCUAAGAGGGGUGUGGGCUUCCCGCUGCUCUAGGCCCGGGGGGCUGCCUUGACCUCUCUUGCUGGUUUCCUUGACCUGCCCCCACCUCUGAGCACAGCCCUGCUCCGUGCUGUUGCUGUCGCUGUCACAGGCUGCCUGUCUCCCGCUGACUCCCAUCAGUGUUCCGCGGAGGCUGUCCAGGCUCCUCCAAGAGACCCUGCCCAGCCAGGACCAGGGUGCAGGGCUGCCCCUCUUCUCCUCUCCUGUAACCUGGGUGCCUCCUAAGAGGGCAGGCCAGGGUCCCACAUGGGCACUCGUCCUGGAGGGGUUGGAGCUGCCUGUGGGACUGCAGAGGAAGCCAGGAUUCCAUCACAGAGGGCCUCAGGGGCCGUGGGGGAGGAUUUGGGGUUUUAAGAACAACAAGCUGUGGCAGAUUUUUGGGCUGGGGAUUGCCAUCCUCUGGUUUACAAAUGUAGAGGAUUUAUCUGCUGAGAGGUUCUAGACGGUCUGUGUAGACCCAGGGAAGCUAUCUGGGGUGCUGGGGCAGUAGUUGCCCUGUGACAUUAUGGGGCUCUGCCACCAUUAGAGACAUCUGCCACCUCCACUGUGAAGCCUCAGCUGGUCACCCACGACGGGUUGAAGGCUUCCUUUCUGUGUGUUCACAAAACUUUGUCACAGCAGCUAUCACAGUCGCCCCUCCUCCUGUCCGCAGCGCGCCUCUGCCUCAGCGCCCGCUCACUCCCGGGUCCCAGCACGUGCAGGGCCUGCACACAGAGGGUGCGGUAGGGCUGGCGCUUCGCUGAACUGGUUGGGACUGUCUACCUUCAGUGCAAACGCCUUUGAAGGUGCCUCCUGUUACAACAUGAGUAACUGUUAAGGGACGCCCAGCGUCAGAUCAGCUUGCGCCGCCUUGUCAGGCAAGGAGAGACAGUGGACAUUGGCUGCGUGCUUCCCCACGCCGCCUCGUCCAGUCCACUUGCCAGCCCUGGGAACAGGCAGUCCUGCCCCAUUUCACAGAGGGGAAACGGAGGCUCAGAAGAGUGGUCUAACUUGGAUCAGGUCGCCCAGCUUGUGAGUGACAGAGCCUAGGUGCCAACCAGGUCUCUCUGUCUCCUAAAGCUGUCAGCGGAGCCCAACGCCGCCGGGAGAACUGGACCAGCCUGCUCAGGAAACUGGCCUGGAAAGGUACACUUUUGUUUUGUUUUGUUUUUGCUGAGGAAGAUUGGCCCUGAGCUAACAUCUGUGCCAGUCUUCCUCUAUUUUGUAUGUGGCUUUCUGUCACAGCAUGGCUGCCCACAAGUUGUGUAGGUCCACAUGUGGGAAGCAGACACGGGCUGCUCAAGUGGAGCACGUCAAACUCAACCACUGGGCCACGAGGCCGGCCCCUGGAAAGGUACCUUUUAAUAACAAUGAAGGAACAAAAGUUCAACAGUUGUGCCACGUCGCUUUGCGGAUGUCAGCUGCCACUCUGCUGCAGCUGAGGAGACGUGCUCUGGAGUAUCAGGCUCCUCUCUGCGGGCUGAGGACUUUGCGCGACCACUUCACAGCUCCUCCUCAGUUUCAGCGUCCUGCCUCUAAGAAGCUCCUGGACCUUCCGGGUCUUGGAUAGGCUCUUCUUGUACACGUCUAUGUAGUUCCUUGUGAUUUCCUACACACACACACACACACACGUGUAUGUGUGUAUAUAUAGCUUAAGCCUUGAGAGUUCUGGAGCCAUCUCCAGGAGGGCCUGAGCACUGUCUCCUCCUACAGAGAAGGCUUGGCGGGGCUGGAUGUGUAGACUUGUUUUUAGUAGCCUGGAGUGGGAAGGGCCAAAGGGUGAAAGCUCCAGAGGGACAGUUUUUAGACUCUCUUCAGAGUCAGCCUGAGGAAGAACUUUCUAGCAGUGAGACUUUGUCCAGGAGGCAGCAGGCUCCUCGGGAACCUGCCGGCACAGGCUGGGAGAGGCAGCCCUGGAGGAAACCAGCCUCAGGGGGAGCCGGGAGGGGUGGGACUGGCUGUGAACUGACAGGCCGCUUCGUUCCGGGGCUGGAAGCUAUGUGAUGAUGGCAAACCCUCCGCUGAUUAAUUUCCUCCAGAGUGCUUGGCCCAUCACAUACGUGGCCUCAUUUAAUCUCUGUGGUAGCCCUGCAGGGUAGAUGCUGUCCAGUUGGUGCGUGAGGAAACAAGCCUUAGAGAAGUUAGGUAACUUGCCCAGGAGGACUUGGCAGAGCCAGGAUUUGAAUGUAAGCUGAGUCUGACCCGAAAGCUCCAUUUAAUAAGGCAGCUGCCACCACCUCCCCCAGGACUUAGGUUCCUACGAGCUUCACCCAAGUCACCAGCACAACUUAGUUCAUUUUGUUUUGCUUUUGCGUGCCUCAGUUUCCCCUCCAGGGGAAACUACCCCUUUGAUGUUGGAAGUCAGCCCGCAGGCUAGACCCAUCAGACUAGUCUGCUCUGGGAGAGUGGGGGCCUGGCCUGGGGCACAGACAGUUCCCAGAUUGUUUGGUCUCUCCUAAGCUUCCCUUUAUCUCCUUCUAGAAGGAGUCCAUUGUUUACCAGCUUGUUACUGUGGCUCUGGGUGCAUUAUGGAUCCAAGCAGGUGACACGGAGCAUGGAGCCGCAGCCAAGAGAAGGUUUCAGAAAGGUCUGUGUCUUCAGUUUCAGGUCUGAUGAAAGGAACAAACAAACAAAUCUAAAUCCAAACCCAGCAGGCUGCCUGUGGGGAGUCUGUGACACCGCGUCCAGGCCAAAGCCAGGGUGGGCGGAGAGGGACGCUGCAGGCCCGAAACGGGAGGCCAUAGAUCCCCUCGCGUACAAGGGUGUUUAUGUGACAUGCUUUGAAACGUGUGUGUCUCUUUUUUGUGUGUUUAUUCCUGAGACUCUUUUUAAAAGCAAUGUAGAAACUGUACUUUAAAAUACUUUAUCCCUGGAUGAUAUUUGAGGCAAUUCCACUUAGUUUAGUUAAACUCAGCCAGGAUUGACUAAGCCUCUCUUGUACCACGCACUGUGCUGGGCGCUGGGAUCCAGGGACGCAGAAGGUGUUACCCUGUCCUGAGGUGGCUCAGUGUCUGUCAUGAGAAAAAGAUGCACAAAUAAGGCCCCCAGAGUGCCCGUGGGGCUGGAGCCGUUUCAUUUGCAUGUAGCUGGGACCUACUGGAGGGGAAGUCUGAGUUCUUGGUGGGAGGGGUCGAGAAGGGUCCUCAGAGGCAGAUGAAGGUGGAGCCGCCAGUCCCAGGCAAUGGGGAGAGAGCUGGGGGGGGAGGGGGUGUCAUCUGGGGGUCACAGACGUUUGGCCUGCCCGAGGUCAUACAGUCAGAAAGCAGCAGCCUGAGGAUUUGAACCCAGAUCUCUCUGAUUCCUCUCCACCCCAGCGAAGAGACCUGCACAUUAGAGUGCUGUGACUCAGUGGGAAGGCUGUCCGCCUCUUCAGAGCCUUCCUGCCCCUGGAGGACCCGCCGAGUCCCACGCGCCCCUGGAAAGGCUCUUUGUACCGCUGCUGAGGUCUGGGAAAAUAUGCGCCUCCAUACAUACGGCUGGGUAUGGUUUCAUGGAGCUCUGCUUUCUCUUCAACAAUAUGAACACGUGCACUCAUUUGUUUAUUUGCUUAUUUGUUAUAAAAUAAGGACUUGUGAUUUCUGUCAAGACUGUGCUUGGCAAAGGAGCUAGAAGGAACAAUGAAACUGUCUUGGAGGGCAGAGGGCAGAUUUUAAACUCCAUUUUACUUCCCAUCACACAUAGGAGGUACUCAGGAAGUACUUGCAGAGCUGGCCUGGCUUGGCUACUCUCCUUCAUGGAGCUGUGUUAGUCAGCUUUGCCACAAGGCUGGUAUGUGACAAACCGCCCGAUACUGAGCAGCUUACGGUUACCAGUGCUGUUCCUCGCUCAUGGGUUUCAGGCUUGGUGGGUGGCACGGUGCAGGUGCAGGUUGGGGGGCAUUGGCUCAGGUUGGCCUGCUCAGCUGCCUCAUUCCGGGGGCCAGGCUGAAACCUCUGCCUGGUUGCUCUUCUCCCAGUAAACGAGCACGUGAGCAGAAAGAAUGUGAUGAAAGAGAUGCUGCCUUGAGAUCUCAGCCCAGAACUGCCGUCCGUCACUUCUACCACCUUCGUUGGCUCACAAUGAGUCAGUGGUCAAGCCCAUUAUCACUGGGCAGGGAUGUAUAUUUGUUGCCUCUUGUGUGACGCCCUGCAGACUCUAAUGGCAAAGGGUAUAAUGCUCACGCAAGGAGAGCAUGAAGACUGGAGCUUCAGAGAUGGACUUGAUUUCAAAUUUGAGUUAUUCUCUACCUGAUUUGGGACUGGAGAAAUCACUUAACCCUUUAGAAUCUCUGUCUUUCUCAUAUAUCAGGUGCUUACAAUAUGCCUUUCACCGAGCUUAGCAUUUUAUGAAGAUUGCUAUAGGGAGGUAAAGUAGGGGUUCAGCCCCAUUUAAUGAAUGAGGAAACUGAGGCUGAGUAAGGUGACUUGCCCAAAGUCACAUGGCCGCAUCCGGAGUUCCCUGGCAGGUUCUAUCUGCCACCUCUACUUAACUGAAAGAGGGUGUGUGUGCUGUCUGCCACUCUCAGGGAGCUUGUUUCAGGUGAAUUUCUGUCUUUUCUCCCCUUAAAGAGUCCUGGAAACUCUCAGGUCUCUGAACUUUCAUUUUCUGAUGAACUUUACCCCGUGGAUAACCCGCUGAUGUGGCUGGCUACCACCACCCAAGUUUCAAAGUUCAUUGUUGGUAAAGAAAAAAGUCGGGGCUAUUAUUAGCCGCAAUUGGAGGGUGAUCGCACUUCCCAGUCACGAGUCUUCAGGAAGAAGGACACUUGAAUCAAAGCCUGGGUGGUGGUGGUGGGGCAGCGUGUGUGGGCCAGAGGCAGGUUUCGUAAUUGUCAUGCCUGUCGGGCGAGGCUGGGGCCUCUGCUGCCAGAUCGCUUUCCUCUCUGGAGCCAGCUGCUCUGACACCUCUGGGGAAGGACAGCUGGCAGCUUUUUGCUAGAGUUUACUCACAAGGCAUGGAAGAUACUAGUAAGAGCAAAUCUUGGAUCCAACAGAUCUGAUUUGAAUCAAGCCUGUGCCUGAUUGGCUGGGUGGCCUUGCCCCCUGCAGUGCUGUCCCCUGUGCCUGCAGUGCCCCUCCUUCUCUGGGCCACUCUCCACCUGAAUGUCCCCUCAUCCCAGAGGUCUUCCCUGACCCUCUCAAGCCCUGUGCUCCCUUAAUAGCCCGGCCCACCCACGCCCUGCGCCGAGGUUAUCCUGAUGACUCACUUAUUCAGCUCUGCUGCUAGGAGACAUGCUCUGUGAGGGCAGGCCUGACCCCGACAUCCCACUCCCCAGUAUGGGCCUAGGGCACGGGAGGCAUGCUACGAACGUUUAUUUAAUGAAUUCAAUGACAAGUGACUAAAAGCAGGCAAUUGCUUUGCAACCUUUCUGUAGUGGAUUCAAUAUUGUCUAUGCCUUGGAAGCCACUUGGCUCUAAUCCUUGCUACUCAAGGUGUGGUCCUUGGACCUGCAUCCCCUGGGAAUUUCUAUGAAAAGCAGCAUCUGAGGCCCCACCCCAGACCUACUGGAUCAGAAGCUGCGUUUUAACCAGAUCUCAAGCCACCCACGUGCACACCGAAGUUUGAGAAGGAUCACAUCUAGCCGCAGGGUCCUUCCUGGGACCCUCAGAGACUGCCACAGAGUCUGAAGCCGGUUCUCUGAGAAGCAGCAGCCGGGCCAUUUUCAGUGGGCAGCCCCUGAGAAGGACUGCUUGCACAGCACUGCCACGUCGGCGUGGACGGGUGAUGACCUGUUGGCCAAGCAGUCGAUCGCCCGAGUCCUUCUAGUGACCAGCUGCAAGAACAUCUGGAUGCCCCGUGGUCGCCAAGGAGGUUUUCCGUUAACUCUCUGCAGCGGCAGGGGAUGGGCCAGUCCACGGUGUCGAAUCCUCACCCCUGGUCUGUGAGGCAGGUGUUAUAAUCUCCGCUUUACACGGGAGGAGGCCAAGGUCCAGAGAGGGUAAGGCGCUUGCCCACAGCCACACAGUUGGGAAGAGGCCCAGUGGGGAUGUUCCCUUCGUGCAAGGCUGGCUCUUGCAGGGAGGCUGCCCUUCUAAUGCGGACAGUUUACUCACUCCACAUUCCGUCCUAAGACCCUCUUCACACAGGACUAACUGCGGUCUCUGCACCCCGUGAACUGGCCCUUCUCCGUGCUCCUGACCUCAUCUCCUACUGUGUAUGCCCGUGGCUCCCUCUGUUUUAGCCUCUCUGGCCUCUUUCGGACCCUUGAACGCACAAGCUGGUGCCCAGCCCAGGACCUCUGCUCUUCCUUCUGCCUGCGGGAUGUCUCCCCCCAUCUCCCCGUGUUUGCCUUCUCAUCAUUCAAGGCUCACUCAAACAUCCCUUCUUCCGGGGGCCUUUCCCUAAGCACCCGAGGGAAACACGUCCUGCCCUCUCCCCUCUCCACGCCCACAAUAGUCACUCUCAUUCCCAUUAUUUUAUUUUUUUCAUAGCACUCAGUUUAUCCAAAAUUGCCACGGGCGUUUGUUCAGAUGCCCCUCCACUGGCGUGGGAGCUCCUCGAGGGCAGGGUCCUUGUCUGGAUAGCUGCUGUGUCCCCAGCCCAGAACAGUGUCUGACACAUGGCAGGACUUAACGAGACUUGGCGAAGGAGAGGAGGCCUGGGUUCCCUGGGCCAUGGCAGUGUUGAAUUGCCCUGUCCUGUCCACGUCAUCUCUCUGUGGAGUGUGCGUGCGGUGCAGGCCUGCUCCACUCCAGGCUGUGGGCCUCCGAUGCCAGUCGUGGGUAAGUCAGGCUCUGGAGGCGGGAUUUGGAGACCCAUCUCUGGCUGUGGUCUGGUUCGGAACAGACCUGCUCUGCAGUGGCGUGGGCUGGGGCACGUCCUGAAGCGCUGCGUCGACGGUCCAGUCGAGGCUAGCGGAGGGGCAGGGAGUUGGACCUAACAGCUCCCGAAGGCCUGCUCCGGAGCAGACACUUGUUGUCCGUGACCUCCAGUGUUCACACUGCCUGUGUUCUGCUGUGCACUCGACAGAGGAGGGAGCUGAGGCCCAGAGGCGGUAAUUGACCCAGGCUGCCCCCUGGGGAGGCUGCAAGUGCAGAGCCAGGAGCUCUCGAUUAGAUGCUGAGUGCCUUGGUGGAAAGGUGACAGCUCACAUUCCCUGAUGAGUGGCAGGACUGGGAUCCAGACUCCAUCUGCCUCAUUCCCAAACUGUAAGCUGCUUGCUCACCCUACAGCUCCAACACCCUCUUUGUAAGAACUGAGGAGGUAGCUUGCCCGAGGUCACGCAGAGAAUUAGAGGCUGUGCUACACGCGGGGUCUCUCCCUGAGACCACACGGCCUCUCUUUGCUCUCAUCGCCGUGGGAGAGGGCUUCCAGAGAACCACCUCAAGGCCGACUACUGAUCCCGGGAGACCCCGGCUUCCUCUGGAGCCCAGUGAGUCACUGUGGGGAGGAUCCAGGCCCCUCCUUUGAAGCCCUGCUUCUGUGUUUAGCCUGAUCUGCCUCCAGGGGCAAGAGGAUGAAGCGGAGGAUUGCCUCGGGCCACUUCUGUCACUUGCUUGCCAAUCUAUGCUGUUUUCCUUUUGCCAGAGGGUCUUCAUAGCUGGGCCAAAACCCAUGAGAUGGACACUGGAGGAAAAGAGAGAUUACUUACAACUCAAGCUGCAGAAAAGGAGUAGGCAAGGGGAUGGGAUGCCUUCCCCAGAAAGCAAGACUGAAUAGCGCGUACAGUCUCUGGAUCAGAGUCCAAGUCUUGGAAAGAUUCUCAGAGGGCCUCAGUGAUUCCAGCUUCAUAGCUGGAGUCAGGUCAGGGCUCCAAUCUCGCUCAGCCUCUUCCCCCUACGUGACGUUAUACCUGCAGUGUAACAAGGACACUGACUUAGGAUUGUUGUGAUUUUAAAAUGAGACAAUAUGCAUCAUACGCCUGGUCCAGAACAGGCAAGAAAUAAAGAAAGAGCAGGGUGUGUGUGUGUGUGCGUGUAUUUUCCCCCUUAUCUCCUCAUUUUAUAGACAAAGAGACGAGAACCAGAGACCAGCUGUGAUGUCCACAGACACAUGGGAGUCCAUGCUGGAGCCGGGAGGUGGACCCUUGCCCCACCCUCCCAGGCCAGCGUUCUUUAUUUCACAUCACAAUAUUAAGGAUGAAAUUUUUAACCACGUCCCUAAUUUCUAGGCCUUGGAAGCAUAAAAAAGAUGAUUCUCAGCAUAUGGGGAAUACACCAAAAUAAAAUUAUUCUUUGACUAUUCUGGCAUCUAAAAAGCCUUUGAAGCGGCACUCCUUGUGUGGUCAGGAGAGCAGGCAUGUGGCUGGCCUGGAUCCUUUUCACUCAGGGAUGGUUGAACAGUGCCGUCCGGGCGCCCACCCCAGUCCCAAGACCGAAGGAUCUCGGGCAGGUGUGGUCCGAGAAAAAGUCAAGGUCAGGACAUGUGCACAUUGUGUAUGGGUCCCUGGAGCCAGCUAGGCAAACUUUAUCUGUGAGAUAAGGACUGUGAAUGUACCAUGUAAUUUUGUUCUUAUAAUAAAGGAAUAGUCCAGAAAUAACCUUAUCCCUUACGGCAUAAGGCCUUUUCGCUGGUUUCUGAGACCACCUGAGAGAAUGAGCCUUUUACCAACACACUGAUGAUUUAUAUCACAUCACAAUGUAAGGAUGCAAUUUGUUAACCGUAUCCCUAAAUUGAUCAUCUCAGGGAAUUGGUGUUCAUAAUUAAGAGUUGGAGCAGGGCCCCAGAUGCCUCUGGCAUCUUCCAAACCACCAGGGAAAGGCUUAUAUGCAGCUCCUGUUGGCUCACUGACUUUCUGGUCUUUGUUCAAAUGACACCUUCUCAGUGCGGCCUUCCCUGGCCACCCUAACUAACAGGCAGACCCCCCACCAACAUGCUCGAUCCCUAUCCCCUGAUUCAUUGUCCACCUUCACACUCCGCAUCUUGCAAUACACUAUAUAUCUACUUACUUUGUUAUUACCUACGUUCCCUUACUAUUUAUUUAAUGAUACUCAUUUGUAAAUGCUCGACAAAUAUCAGCUCAUUCAGACCUCAUAACAACUUUAAACGGAGGUGGUAUUAUUUGCCCCUCUAUACAGAUGAGGAAACUGAGACACAGAGAGGUUAGGUAAUGUGUUGAAGGUCACACAGCUCACAAGUGGCUGAGUUAAGAUGUGGUCCCAGGAGUCUGGCUCCCAAGUCCUUGCUCACGCCCAUCACACUGUCCCUCUCAUAGGAUGUGAAUUACGCAAGGGCAGGGGUUCGCCUAUUUGGCUGGAAAUACCUGGCACAUCACAGCAUCAAGUAAUUAUUUGUUGAAUGAAUGAAUGAAUGUUUAAAUGGGGCUUAUACCAUUCCAUUGCUUUGAAAGCCCUUCAUUUAUAGAUACUACGCUUAGACAGCCACUCCUUGAAGCAAAUCUGUGGAUUAUAGGAAGGCAGUGGGGCAGGUGGACAGGGCGUGGGGCUCUAGUGUCAGAAAAGAAUGGGGAUCAGAAUCCUAACUCGGUCAGUCACACACAAUAUUUCAUGAGCUACAUGACCUUAACAAGUUCAUCUAACCUCUCUAGCCUUGGUUGCUUCAGCCUUGGAGAAAAUCGUGGGCUCCUUGGAGGGUUAGGCAUUAGAUGAAAGUCCAGUGUAGAUAAAGCACGGGCCCAGAGCAGGUCCUCAGGAAAUGCCAGUUCCCUUCUCAUGGGGAAGGCAGGGAUGAAAGAUACAGGGACUCCAUCUUCCUUUUGCUGAGCAAGCUCUGAUUUUUUCGGAAUGAAUAUAUUAGGGUGAAAGUAUGGGGCUAGCAAAGGGGACCAGGAGAUGGGAAAUGUCACUUUUCCCUUGGACAGCAGUUAAGGCUGGAACAACUCUAGUCAAUUCAGCAAUAUAUUUCUUUUGAUUCUCACCUAACACCAAAUUGAUGCCACUUUUUCUCCUUUGUUUCAUUAAAUUCCGUCGCCUUAACGUGAAACACCGCCUCUUCAGACGUGGUCCCACCGUAGCAGUGAGCAGGCAGGAGUGUCAUCGCCCUCCCGGAAACCAAGCCCGCUUUGGAUUGUAGAGAACAGACCGCACAUCUGACAAGCGAGUUUCCCAAUUCCUCCCGAUUUGUAGACUGAGUUUGUAAAACUCUAAAUAUUUGUCUGACUUUUAAGACUGUUUUCUUCAAGUCUCAGUCGGAGACUCUGCAGGGAAACGCCUAGAGCCCCGGGCUGGCGCUGGGCUGGGAGCUGGUGCCCGGAAGUCGCUCCUGCUUCCUGGGUUUGGUGAGUGCCUCCACAUCAGAUUGCCCUGGAAACCUCCACGAGCCGCCAUCAGACAGAUGGGUCUCCUUCUGCAUGGGGAGGGCUGAGGCCCAGGACCUCCAGCACAUGUCCCAUCCUCUUUGCUGGACCCUUCUGCUGCUUGUGGUAUGACCAUGGCACAGUGGCCACGUGGGAUUAAUUCCAAACCUCUGACCUGGCUUUGCGCAUGCCGUUCCUUCUUCUUAGACUCUCCUUCCCUCACCUCCUCUGAACUCAGGGCUCUCCAACUUCAUCCUCAGGACUCAGUGUGGUUGCUCCUCUGGGACGAGGCUCUAAGGGGGCAGUGGCUGUCGGCUCUGUGCUCGUUUCUAGCAUCAGCCCCUUUCUUGUCAUCUUUACAUGUCCCUGUUUCUCAUCUGGGAACUCCUUCAGAGCAGGGCGUUGUUGUUCAUUUAAAGAUCUUUAGGCCCUGACAUAGGGCCCAGUCUGCAGCUGGUACUCAAGAGGAGUCCUGAAUUUUAAACUUUUUGCUCAAAUGAACAGGGCGCUGGGACCUUCACAGAAAGAGUGUAGGAUGAGGGGGUGCAUGGACUGCUGUUUAGGAGACCCCUCGGGCUGAUCUGGGUCAGCCCCCAUUAUUCUGCAUCUGAGAAAGUGGGAGCUUAGUGACAUCCCAGCUGCAUGUGUUGCUGGCAGAGCCGAGGUCUCCCCACUCUCGGUCCAGUGCCCAAUCUGUGAUCUCAGGAUGUCCCUCGUCCUCAUGAGAAUGAGCUGCAGCAAAGACAUGGCUGGUGGAGUGGAGAAAGGCAUCCAGGGACAAGAUACUGGGAGUGACAAAAGUCCCUGGAGUGUGGCUUGCCAUCUUGGCAGCAGGCUGCCUGGCAGACUGGAGGAUGCCAAUGAGAAGAAAGCCUCGGGAGUGCCAUGGCAGGAGCUCUGGGUUGCAGACUUGGGCUUCUCAGGCCAGACCCGCUGGCCCGAGUCAGCUCAGGAACCAGGGAAAAGUGCCACAGAGCCGUCCCCAAACCAAAGGCUUCAGGCUCCUUGCAGUUGGGCAUCUGGCCAGAUGUUAAGAAAAGGGGACAUUGCAAAGAACUCUAGCAGGAGGAAGUGGUUUGAGUUUCCUGCUUGAAGGAGGAUGCUUCAUUUAAAUAGAAUUCGGUAGAAUUAAGUAGAAGGGGGAAGUCUCUCAAGCCCUCUGCUUGGACUUGGAAGUCUGCUUCUUGCAGAGAAAGAGGAUUGAGAAAUGGCUUCCCAGGGAACCAGAUUUUACCCCAAAUUCUCAAUCGGGGUGGGGAUGGAUAUAACAGAAAACGUUUCCAUCUACUGAGCCCCUGUUCUGUGUUGGGUACUUCUCUCAGUUAGUGCUUCUCCCCAAAUCCUCGUGGAAACUCAGAUUCCCAGAGGGGAAGUGAUUUGCCGCAGAAGACACAGCAAGGCAGGCUGGCACUCGGACCCACCCCUGGCUGACCACCUCGCCACGUCGGCUCCCAAAGCUGGCUGGCCUCCCUGGGCCUGCGGGCCUCAGUCUGAGUGAGCUUCUCUCGUCUGUGAGCUGACAGUCACCAGGCCAGGCCCCUCCCUGCUUUGCAAAGCUCAGUUUUGCACAGCUAACCUCUUCAGUAGACCUCAGGGAGGUUCGACUGUGAAGGCCUGAGGACAGGGUCUGGGGUGCAUCACCUCUGUCUUCCCUGCACUGGCCCAAGGGUCUGGACCCAGUAGACGCACAGAAACAAUGGUCCCCGUGCCAGGAUCUUCUGUGUGGUAGCUCACUUCAUUCCCACACUGAGCCGGGGCCUGGGUUUGUCAUGCCCAUGUCUGAGAUGGGAAAACAGACUCAGGAAGAGAAGUAAUUUUCUCAGGAUAUGUUGCUGGAUUGUCUUUUAAAAAUAAAGGUAUUCCCUGAGUAUGGUAUAAGUAAGAUGUUUUAGGACACUUCUCUGCAAGAAGUAUCAUAUUUACUUGUAUUUCUAAAUCAAAUAAAUUUGGCUUGCCACACCCGCCUGCAUUUGGCAGGAAAUUCCGUCUCAGCGUGUGGGGUGGAGGUCGCCCCGAAUGCGGGAGUUUAUACGGAAUGGUGUUUAGACAAGAGUCUGCCUCUGGCCUUCAGCUCCAAGACGUUCCAAUCACAGGGCGAUGCUAAUCAAGCGACGCUUUGGAGCCACUUCCCAGAGUGGCCUGGGAACGCCCCCGCAGGUCAGGUGCUGUUCGAAGAGUUGGCACGGUGUGAGAUUUUUAACCUCAGUGGGUGACGAUGGCCACCUUCUUCCCCCCUCCCCCCAUCACACAUCCCCUGUUGGGUAAGUUGUAUUGGCCGUGGGCGUUUUAUAUUUGUAAUGUUCUUUUCUUAAAGAAAGCUCCUCAAAAUGCAUAUAUUCACGUCUGACAAAACCUAGAUGUGCUCCUGCCUGCUUCGUUCAUGGUGGCAGUCCCUCCACACGUGCCCUGGGCUGCCUUCCUGGUGGCCCUGGAGCCGUGGCUCUUUCUGUGAAAUUUUCGGCUUUUCCUCUUACCCUUUCAGAGGUUCCACCCUCCUGGAUGGGGGUGCUAUGUGGGAAUGGGAUACUGGUCCCCCAUUUUGGAAACAGCAGCUUCCAUAGUUUAUUUUGCCAUCUUGGAGAAGCCUUGCCAAGGUUAGGCCAUUCCCCAUUUUCAAGCACAGAGGAAAGGGUACAGAGGCCUUUGCACACACAAUGUCACAGUCAAGGUCAGAGCAUCACAGUCAAGGUCACAGGGUCACAGUCAAAGUCAGAGUAUCACUGUCAAGGUCAGAGGAAAGGGUACAGAGGUCUUUGCCCACACAGGGUCACUGUCAAGGUCUGAGUGUCACAGUCAAGGUCACAGGGUCACAGUUAAGGUCACAGUGCCACCGUCAAGGUCACAGGGUCACAGUCAAGGUCAGAGGGAAGGCCAGCAGUGAGACAGCAGCAGGUUGGAUGUGGCUGUCUUCAUUCUCUUAGAUGAAGUUCAAGGCAAAGGUCUCUGACAGUCCUUGGAAGAGAAUGUCCAGCUUGUUUUCCCGCCCAGAGCCUAGUAAACAGGACAACUGGAAUCUGUGGUGGCCUCAGGACACAUGGACUGCAGCCUGGCUGGCCGUGGGAGAGAAGGCAGUGUGGAAAUGGCUGACAUUAGGACCCACCCUGGCCUCUGCACUUGAUCCCCAAGGAAACGCCUCUUCUGGGACAACCUGUCUCAGGGACUUGGAAUCUGUAUCUUGGGUCAGAAAAUAUGCACAGCCUUUGACCCAACGAUUCCACUUCUAGGAACGCAAUAAGAAGGAAUAGUUGCUGAUGUGUGCAAAGAUAUAUGUCCAAGGGUGUUCAACGUAAUGUUGUUUGUAAUAGAGAAAAAGUGGAAGCAACUCAAAUAUCCAGCAAUGGUGGUAUGCCAGGAAACUUGUGUUGCUACAGUACAUCUAUAUGAUGGAAAAAUAUUAGCCAUUAAUAAUCAUGUGGUAAAGGAAUGUGUAUUGAUAUGGAAUUUUCAGAAUAUUUUGCCAAAUGAAAAAAGGCUAUCAAACAGCAUGUACUGCCUGUUCUUACUUAAUUAUAUAAUUACAUACUCCGCUGAGGUUAACUGAACACUUACUGGAUGCCAGGCAUGGCUCUAAGCAUUUAAAAUACAGUCAUACAUUUCAUCGUGCAACGUCUAUGAAGAAGAUAUUUUUAUUAUCUAUAUAUUACACAUAAGGCACCUGAGACACAGAGCGUUUAAGUAAUUCGCCCAAGGUCACACAGUACUAAGUGGCAGAACCUGAAUGUGACUAAGGCAGCUGGGGUCCGGAGCCAUGCCUAAACCACUAAGCUGGCCCUGCUCUCUCUUCCUGUGUGUGUGCAUGUUUGUAUAGUUUUCUCUCUCUUUCUCAGAGGCUUUACACCAAAAUGCUAGCUGUGUCUUCAGUCAUCCCCUCCUCAAACAAGAUACAGCAGAUGUUUCCAUGAUGAGAGGGGAUGCUGCAGCUACUGCGGCACUGGGGAACAUCUGCGCCUCGAGCACAGAGACUACGCCACGUGCCUGUGUGGACUCCACAUGGGCACGUCCCCAAUUCACCGAUUCAGCAAACAGUGACUAGGCACCCAUUCUGUGCAGGCCUUGUUCUAUGUUUUGAGGAUUCAACAGUGAACAGGGAAGGCACACGGGACAAUUCUCCCAUAAAACUGACAUCCCAGUGGGGAGGCAGAGAGGUGACCAGUAAGUAAACAGCCAAGAAAAACACCAGCUGGAGAUCAGUGUUGUUGGGAUCUGCAAUUAGAAGAGUAUGAGAGAGUGGGACCACAGCUACAGGGGUUAAAUGGCCAGGAAAGGGGACUUUUUAGAGGUGGCAUCUCAGCUGAGACUUGAAUGACCAGAAGAAACAAGAUAUUUGUCUAUAUCCGUAAUGUAUCUAUGUCUAUCUCUAUCUACCUAUCUACCUACCUACCUAUCUAUCAUCUAUCUGUCCAUCACCUAUCUAAUCUGAGAGAGAGAGAGAGAUAAAUCAAACCCAGUAAAAUGUUAACAUUUGGGGAAUCUGGGUGAAGGGUACAUUAAAAUAUUUUUGUAUAAUUGUUGUGACAUUUCUGUAAGUCAAAAUUAUUUUAAAAUAAAGAGUUGAAAGUAUAUUAAAA